ACGCACGCUGGCGGCGUGCUUAACACAUGCAAGUCGAACGGUGAAGCCCUUCGGGGUGGAUCAGUGGCGAACGGGUGAGUAACACGUGAGCAACCUGCCCCUGGCUCUGGGACAACCACUGGAAACGGUGGCUAAUACCGGAUACGACCCGCCUCGGCAUCGAGUGUGGGUGGAAAGUUUUUCGGCUGGGGAUGGGCUCGCGGCCUAUCAGCUUGUUGGUGAGGUGAAGGCUCACCAAGGCGACGACGGGUAGCCGGCCUGAGAGGGCGACCGGCCACACUGGGACUGAGACACGGCCCAGACUCCUACGGGAGGCAGCAGUGGGGAAUAUUGCACAAUGGGCGAAAGCCUGAUGCAGCGACGCCGCGUGAGGGAUGACGGCCUUCGGGUUGUAAACCUCUUUCAGCUCCGAAGAAGCGAAAGUGACGGUAGGAGCAGAAGAAGCACCGGCUAACUACGUG
RNAcentral lists this ribosomal RNA (461 nucleotides) under uncultured bacterium. RNAcentral describes it as "partial 16S ribosomal RNA". It matches the Rfam family "Bacterial small subunit ribosomal RNA", at positions 29 to 507 of the family's 1533-position model. The record is from RNAcentral.